UACGUAGGGUGCAAGCGUUGUCCGGAAUUAUUGGGCGUAAAGAGCUCGUAGGCGGUCUGCCGCGUCGAAUGUGAAAACCCGGGGCUCAACCCCGGGCCUGCAUUCGAUACGGGCAGACUAGAGUUCGGUAGGGGAGUCUGGAAUUCCUGGUGUAGCGGUGAAAUGCGCAGAUAUCAGGAGGAACACCGGUGGCGAAGGCGGGACUCUGGGCCGAUACUGACGCUGAGGAGCGAAAGCGUGGGGAGCGAACAGG
This 253-nucleotide ribosomal RNA is filed under the name uncultured bacterium. Its description in RNAcentral is "partial 16S ribosomal RNA". It matches the Rfam family "Bacterial small subunit ribosomal RNA", at positions 524 to 776 of the family's 1533-position model. The record is from RNAcentral.